Molecule: long non-coding RNA, 1152 nt
Filed under: Cottoperca gobio
Lineage: Eukaryota; Metazoa; Chordata; Actinopteri; Perciformes; Bovichtidae
Description: lncRNA (ENSCGOG00000023624.1)
Source: RNAcentral
GGAGAAGGGCCGAGGGAGAAAAUAAACCAAACACGGACAGAAACUCAGAAUAUAUUUGUGUUUCCAGCAACAAUAAAAACUUCGCUUUUGACUGUGAGGAGAAUUUAAAUAAUAACCGUUUGUUUAACCUGAGGAACACAUUUGGAUUAUUCUUGUGAAAACAGCAUCUGAUGAAGAGAUGAACGCUCAGCCUGAUGAAGAGACAAACAGUCUGCCCCGCAUGCUGCUGGACAGUGAGGACUCUGACGAAGGUAACAGCUUUGAAAUGUUCAUAAAAAAGUCCAGAAACCAGUAUCAUUGCUCUACAUGUAAACGGGUCGUAUCUCUACAACAGAAGUCAGUCAAGAGGAACCGGCACUCACAAGCUGGAACGAGCUGUCCAUCAUAGAGCGUGUCGGCCUCAACAGGUGACACCAUAACAGAUUUAUCAAAGUUUAACAUGAGUUAAUCUGACUUUUCAUCACACUUUCUCCUGUCUUGUUUUCUGACAGUGUGGAGAUGUCAGAGAAAGAUCUGGAGACGGCCUUCUCUCAGAUCGCUCUGGCCGUCCGCUGUGAUCAGUACACGCUGAAGCAGAGGCUGCAGGCGGAGGAGCACGCGCGCAACUUGGCUGAGGAGAACAUCCAGCUGGAGCUGACCAGAGGCAGGGAGACCCUGGAGGUGCAGUAAAUGACACGUGAUGUGUGAAAUAAGCUUUAAUGACACCACCAGAGGGGCAGGUGCACGUGUGUGUUUGUGUUUUCAGACGCUGAAGGGCCUGUGUCUGGACAGUAGGCGCAGUGAGAUCCUGCAGAGGCUGGAGCUGUCUCUGGACAUCCUCACUGGGACUGUGGAACGAAUCUUCAACACAGCCGAGGUGCUCGGCGCUGUGCACCAGGAGGCUCGAGUGAGUCGUGCAGUCGAGCUGAUGGUGGCUCACGUGGAGAACCUCAGGAGACGACAUGACAGAAGCGUGGCAGACCUGGAGGAGGCCAAGAAGACGAUCCAGCAGCAGAACCCCUACAGAAACAUCAUCGACCCCAGAGCAUCGCCAGGUCUCUGGUAUUCUGUCUACAGCUGUUUGUCUUGUCCUGCCAUCAUGUGCAACAUUUGACUGAAUCUCUUGUUCUAGAUCCAGAGGAAAGUGACGGCAGAAGAAAAACCCUUCAGCAG